This 465-nucleotide ribosomal RNA is filed under the name uncultured bacterium. Its description in RNAcentral is "partial 16S ribosomal RNA". It matches the Rfam family "Bacterial small subunit ribosomal RNA", at positions 28 to 507 of the family's 1533-position model. The record is from RNAcentral.
GACGAACGCUGGCGGCGUGCUUAACACAUGCAAGUCGAACGGAAAGGCCCCUUUGGGGGUACUCGAGUGGCGAACGGGUGAGUAACACGUGAGUAACCUGCCCUUGACUUCGGGAUAACUUCAGGAAACUGGGGCUAAUACCGGAUAGGAAUCCUUGCUGCAUGGUGGGGGUUGGAAAGCUUCGGCGGUUUUGGAUGGACUCGCGGCUUAUCAGCUUGUUGGUGGGGUAGUGGCUUACCAAGGCUUUGACGGGUAGCCGGCCUGAGAGGGCGACCGGCCACAUUGGGACUGAGAUACGGCCCAGACUCCUACGGGAGGUAGCAGUGGGGAAUAUUGCACAAUGGGCGGAAGCCUGAUGCAGCAACGCCGCGUGCGGGAUGACGGCCUUCGGGUUGUAAACCGCUUUCAGCAGGGGCGAAGCUUGUGGUGACGGUACCUGCAGAAGAAGCACCGGCUAACUACGUG